This is a long non-coding RNA of Herpailurus yagouaroundi (jaguarundi), 5387 nucleotides long. RefSeq lists it as uncharacterized. The record is from RefSeq and is a predicted model, not a curated record. Lineage: Eukaryota; Metazoa; Chordata; Mammalia; Carnivora; Felidae. The transcript has 12 exons.
CCUCUAUCGACCUCCUCUAAAUAAAAAUGCACUUUCCAAGGUCUUUAAGGUUCCAACGUGGGAGUGUAGGAAUUUACACUCUGUCCUUUUGGUGCUGUGUCCUCUUAGCGCAAUAAAAGCAUCUGGUGCUUGAGGAGGCCUGCACACAUUUAGGCAGCCGCUUAGCAAACACCUCUUGGCUGGGACCUCAGAGGGUCCUAAGGGGCGCAACUAGCUGUGACGGGGUGACAAGCGUGGGAUCACAGGGACUGGAGAGGUGAACUCCGCCUGCCAAGAACUGGGGGAGGAUUUUCAAAGGCACAACGUCUUCAUUGGGCCGAGAAGGACGAAGUCCGAUGUUCCCUGGCAAAGAGGGGAGACUUGGCAAGGCAAAGAGAACCGCAUGACCACACAUGGGUCUCGGAAGACACACUGCCACGGAGGGUGUGUGUCGGGCCAGGAGCUGAGAAGGCAGGCGGAGCUAGCGGGAGCCCGCGGGGGGGAAUGUCGGUGGGUCGCGUGUGGAAUGGUUGGCACGACGGAGGAGCGGGCCUAUCCCGCACCCGGGAGGGAGGCGGGAGAAGCAGGUCGCCAAGAAAAUCAGGAGUUGUUUUGCUCACUGGUGAGCUUGUGGCGCUUAGUGACACGUGCUAGUCCCGCGCUGGUCUCAAAGAUCACCUGCUGCAGUCACCUGAAGGGUUUAAAUAAAAACACAUGUCCCCUGGACUCGCCCUUCCUUACCCAAACUCAGAUCUACAGAACGGGAGUUCCUGUUUGGGAAGAGUUUGGGGAGUGGGAGCAAAGCAGAGCCGUCAAAGAAGGUUGAGAAUGAGAACCCCGAAGUACCCGAAGAUGGAGAGAGCGAGGGUGUGCCCUUAAUGAGGCCCCCCCCCCCCAAAAGAAUUGGCCAUCACUGGCAGGUCCCCGGAGGCCCCCACCCGGUCCACAAGCCACCCCUGAGCCUCACGCCACCGGGGGACGGAAGAGAGUCCCCGGGCCACCGGAGGAGCUGUCUUUUUACGGGCUGGGCUCGAUGCAGGAGCAGCGAGGCCUACAGGGAAGCCACAUCUGACUCCGGGGGAUUUAUGGUAAUAGGAAAAGGCAAUGUGACAUAAGUGAUCGUCAAAGUCUAGUUUGAAUCCUAAAACGGCCACUUGAGCUGGAGCCUCGUCCAAGUAAGCGCCCUUACCUGAACAUACAGGUUGCAGGCGUGUCCACGGGGCACUGUGAGGGUUAAUACACUCAAGCGAUAAUGCACUCCCUAGCCUACAGGGAGCUCUAACACAUCGGUACAUUCCCUUCAGAAAUGUUUUCCUAUUCCAAACCCGCCUUCCUAUUUUAGGGCCUUUCAAAGUUAGGAAUGCCUCUUUUCUGUGGACCAGACUGCACUUUGUUUUGUUUAUGUUAACCGUUUUUAUUCCAUACAAUCAUUCUCUACAUGCAUUUUAUAGCUUUCCUUUUUAUGACGGAUGAGCCAAUAUUGAAACUUGGCUACUAAGGCCCCUGGUUUACGGCCGGUUCACUGCUGUGUCGUGCAUUCUGUGGGUUUUGACAAAUGUAUGACAUUUUGGCCCCAUUGUAUCUUACAGAGUAGUUUCCCUGCCCUCUCCCCCAUGCUCUGCCUACUCAUCCUUCCCUCCCAUCCCCAGCAACCAGUGAUCAUUCUCUUGUCUCCAUGGUUUUGCCUUUUCCAGAAUGUCAUCUAGUUGGAUUCAUACAGCACGUAGCCUUUUCAGAUCGCCUUGUGAAGUAAUUCACAUUUAAGGUCCCUCCGUGUCUGUUCGUGAAAUGAUAGUUCAUUUCCUUUUUUGCUGAAGAAUCCAUUGCCUGGAUGGACCACAGUUUAUUUAUCCAUCCACCUACUGAAGGAUAUCUUGGUUGCUCCCAGGAGUUGGCGAUUAUGAGUGAAACUGCUCUAAACGUCCGUGUGCAGGGUGUAUAUGGACGUACAUUUUCAACUUAUGAGUAGAUACCAAAGAGUGCAGUCGCUAAGCCGCAUGCAGUGAAUGGGAGUUCCUGCUGUCCUCAUCAGCAGUUGUCAGUGCUUUGGAUUUUAGCCAUUCUAGAUGGAAAAUCAGUGCGUGGGCCGUGAAAGGGAAGUCCAGCCUCACGGAGGGGCUUUUCCUGUGGGUCUCCAGAACAUUCCUCCCACCCCACCCACCUCAUGACAAACUGAGGCAAUGUCCUAAUGCUUCCGGAUAACAAAGCGUCUGAGGCUCUCAAGUUCAGUGUGAAAAUACGCACAUGUUCGGCUGUAUUGGAAAGCACGGCAAAGAGAAAGUGAGAUUCUCCGCAAGACACGUGGAGUAAGGAUAAGUGAGCCAGUUUUUAAGCUGAGGCUUCCUGUAGGAGUUGCAGCAGCCGUGUGACUCUGGACAAAUAUCACCGAGAGAGAGGCGUCCAGAGGACCUCCCUGCUCCAGAGGAGGCUGCCCCGAGGGCUGCUGUAAUGCCAGGACGGAGGAUGCUGACUGUCCAGAAAGAUGCUGGCGACAGCCCGGUCCCACCUGCAGUGGCCCCUGCUGAAGGCCGACGGGGCCCCGGGAGGACGAGCCAGCCCGGCCGCCUGCACGCUCGGAGCCGACGGGGGCCUGGAGGCCGGGUGGGGAGGUGGGCGCCGGCCAGUGCUCGUCUGCAAGGAGUCGAGAGAGGACACUUUCCAAGAGGCGCGAGACACAGCUUUCCCCAGGGCUGGUGGUCUUGAAAACGCUCCCCUGCUCCCAUCAGCCCAUCCCCAGGGCCUCAGCCGGAUUGCGCCCUGGAGCCCAGACUGGCAGGCAGGCCCUUUGGGGUAUCUUCUCCCCUUCUCCAUCGCCCCGGGAUCCUACCCAGCUGCCUCAGGUUUGCGGUCUCUGCAUUUGGCUCCAUCGUGAAAGGAGAAGGGAGAGAUUAGACCUGGGAAUAUCUGCGGAACAAGAAAUGUCUUGCGCAUGUGAGCACUCGGUCGGUGCUGGAGCCCGUCACAGUUUGCAGUUUCUGUUGGUUUACGUGUACGCAGUUCUUCUCCCCAACUAGAAGGCAGGGGUGCUGACAGGUCGCUAAGGUGAGGACUGAGGCUUGACAACGGAGGAGGUGACCGGUGACUCUGGCAAGGGUGGUUUCCACGGAGCAGCGGAGUAAGAGGCUGAGUGGCGUGGCUCCAGCCAACAAGGGGAGGGGAAAAGCGAGUGACCGUGACUGUGAACAGAAGAGUCUUGCUGCAAAGUCUCCAAAUUAACAACCACCUCCAACUGGAAAUCACACUUCCGCGUGGGAGCAGAAAAGGCAGCUGUGCAGACGGACCAGGGCUUGGAAGGCAGUAGAAUAUGCGCCCCCCCCCCCCAAAACAUGCCACUUUGGCCUCAGGAUUAUUUUGAGCUGAGAGCAACUGAGAAGAAGCAGAUACGAGAACAGCUCUCUGCCGUCGCCUCUUCACCCAAACGCAGGACAAGACUCUGUAAAGGCGCCCAGCUUCCCUCUCUGCCAGGAAGGACAGAAGUGAACCGCCGGCGAGAACUCUCGACCCUUACCUAGACGACAGCAGACACACCUACCUAACGCCUCGAUCACCCUUGUCUUCCCUUAGUCCCCCGACGUGAUAACCUUCUCAGUUUGCCACCCUACAAACUCCCAGUCCUUUUCUUGGUCUCGCUACUUCCCUAAAUACAUUUAUUGUUCUUUUGUUAGGAUGCUGUGUAAGCCCAAGUUCCAACUACCCCGUGAAUUACUCCUCGCUGAGCACUUCUGUGCACACAUGAUGCACCUGUUAAUACAGGUGUUCCUCUUGUUAAUCUUGAAGUUUUUCCUCCCCUACACCCCUUUGGGCUAUUCCUGCCACCUCUCCCCUCCCCCCGCCUUUAUUUUUGACUUUCUUCCCUGCCCUUUUACUCCUCCCCUCCACACACUUUCGUCUCUGUUCCUGGUUUUGCUCCGGAUUGUUUUCCCUAGCCACAGGUGCUGUAUCUCCGGGUGUGCCCGGCUCACCCAGGUGGCCGCACGCAGAUGCCGUGCGCGGUGUGGCCGAUGCCCCGCCGCGUCCCCUCCUGACGGAGGCCUGUGCUAAGAACAGAACAACAAGCGAGGCCCUCAAGAUUGAUCUUCCUGUCUCCGCACAGUGACAUGUCAUUAAUUGAGAUGCUUCCUUUUAGCACCAGAGGAUGGCUCAUUGCCCAUAUCCCUUCCAACGACAGGGACACAUUUUGGGCACUGAAUUUGAGGGAGAGGAGUCAGGCUCCAUACAAACCUGAGGAUUACAGCCGAGGCACAGCCACGAAUCUAUUAUUGUAGCAGUUUCCUUGAAACGUGGGGAUGAGACAUUUCUCCUCUUUGGAGAGCCAGCUUGGCCAGUCUGCCGCGAUUUGCCUGGGACUUUCCUGGUUUCAGCAUUAAAAGUCCCGUGUCUUGGGAAGCUCGUGGCACACUAGGACAGUCGGUCACCCUAGAGCCGGCAGUACUCAAGCCUCUACUGGGCUAUUUGUCAAAGAUUGAGCACAAGUAGGUUCAGUUCAGACAGUGAAAACAGUGAGAAGAGAGUGAAGAACCAUUUAACUCAGAGUAGAGAAACCUGAGGGUGGGGGUGGGGCAGGGGAGGCUGUUUUGGUGACAAGUCUCACGUGUGUUCGCUGAGUGGGCUAGGACGUGUGUCCAGCUGCUGUCCAUUUCUCCCAGAGCUCAGAGGCAGAGGAAAUGGGUGUGAGUGGAGCCCGAACUUACAACGCCAAAUUUCCUGACAAAUGAACCACAUUUUCCAAGAUCCGUUAUUAUAUCAUCCGUCUUCUUCCCUCCGAUCUGUGAUGGAAGCCCUGUCAUAUACUGAUUCCCCACAUAUAUGUAGUCCUGUCCCCAAACCUCCUGUUCUAUUUGCCUUUCCUAUAUUGAUGCUUGUAAUAUGGGUUACUAUCCGAUAGAGCUAGUACUUUUUUGCUUUUCUUUCUCAGAAUUCCCUUGGCUCUUUGUGGAUUUCUAUCCUUUAUAAAUUAAAAAAAAAAAAAUCCCAAUUAAAAAAAUCAUCUUGAAUUCGUCCGGUUCUGGGGAUCGAAGGUACGGCAUGGUGACUAUAGCUAACAGUACCGUAUUGUAUACUCACAAGUUACUAAGAGAAUGGACUAUUAAUGUCCUCACCGUAACAAGAACAACAAGAUGGUAAUCAUCUGAGGCGAAGGAUGUGUUGGCCAAGCUUAUUGUGGUAAACAUCUCACAAUGUAUACGUACGUGUAUCAAAUCAUCACAUCGUACCCCUAAAGCUUACUUAAUGUUAUGUACCAGUUCCAUCUCAAUAAAGCGAUCAUCUUGAGAUUUUGAUUAAAAUUUCAUGGAUUUGGAGAUAAUUUAGGGGAAAUUAACAUCUGUUCUGUGCUAAGCUGUCCCAUUGGCACGUAUCUCUGUUUAGUUAGGUAGUCUUUUACAUCCUUCAUUACUGUCAUUAUCCAU